Megachile rotundata (alfalfa leafcutting bee) is the source of this 666-nucleotide long non-coding RNA. The record is from RefSeq and is a predicted model, not a curated record. NCBI's taxonomy places the organism in Eukaryota, Metazoa, Arthropoda, Insecta, Hymenoptera, Megachilidae.
AUUGUUAAUAUAACACAUUCCUUCCUUGAAAUCAACGUGGUCCCACGGCCAAAAUCUUAGAUCAUUUCAUUUCUCCGAACCGCCGAAUAUAAACAGAAGUCACACUCGUGUGGUCCGAUAACGCCAAGCGUUCUAGAAUGUUCCUCAAGGGCCCGCGACGCAAUAUAAAAUUGUAAUAGAAAUUGUCUUUGUAACAGUACAAAAUUAUAUAAAUUACCCAUAGUAUUUCUUUAUACCGUUAUUAUGAAUACGCACACGUCAAUCAGUUCCACAAUAGUUACAGUACCGAGCGCGAUUUAACUUUAAUAAUUGUAAAACGAAAUAGAUAAUGUUUCAUUCUAAAUUUUUAUAAUGUGUACAGAUUAACACUUUAUAUUGUAUUAGUUAUGUAUGUAAAAUUAUUCAAUAGCUAAUUUACAAUCCAUAGCUCAAGAGUAAAGGAAAGAACUAUAUGUAUAGAAAGAGAGGAAGAUAAGAGCUGGACAAGGGAGGAACACAUGCACCCACCAUCACCACCUAAUUAACGAAUCACGGUCUCUUACGCAUUGGCCUCGCAGCCUAAUUCGUUAGUCGCAUAUCAAUGCAACAUAAACAAUUUCGGACUAGGCCCACUCUGGUCUUCUCCGAGAGGUGCAAGUUGCGACACUCUUCGGUGUAUAAUCGCGA